Long non-coding RNA from Anolis carolinensis (green anole), 564 nucleotides. RefSeq lists it as uncharacterized. The transcript is spliced from 3 exons. NCBI's taxonomy places the organism in Eukaryota, Metazoa, Chordata, Lepidosauria, Squamata, Anolidae. The record is from RefSeq and is a predicted model, not a curated record.
CACUCUAUCUUGGUCUUGGUGUCUGGUUUCAAUUUUAUAUCCCAGUCAAUCUAAAGUCAUGCAGCUUAGAAAUCUUCCCAUUGCUCUCCUUGUGUUGAUGGUCUUGUUUUCUCCAGGAUGUAUCUGUUUUGAGGCGGUUGCAGCUAAUGCUGAGGAGUGCAGUCAAAUUAAAGGAUUUUGUACUUCUGACUCUGAAUGCGGUACACCCUAUCCUGCCAUGGGAAACUGUGGUCCAGACACCCUAUGUUGCUUACCAUUUGGUAAAAAGUGAUUGACUCAGGGAGAAACAUCUUGCCUUACCAAUGCUUUGACUGCUGAUCCAUUGUCCCGUCUUCUUCACAAUAUUAUGUUGCCAUGGUAUGGAGAUUCUGCUUCAAGAACAGAAAGAAUGAUCAUGUGUACAUGCUUUCAAUGCAAAUCAUACAAUAAUCUAAAUAAACACAUCUUCUGUGUUGUUGGAGUGUGUGUUUGGUUUUCUGUUCCUAUAUCUCUGUUGAGAACUUUUGGACUGGACUAUUGACUAUGCCUAUUGGAUUAUCCCUGCAUGGUUUGAUGUUUGACUCU